AAUGCCACUACAAAAAGGGUUUGCAGGAGUAGGCCCACUCUCUCUUGUUCUUCUGCCUUCUGACAGGUUCAUUGCUAAGGAAUGGAUUGAAUCAGUACCUAAACCAGCUGACAGCUGCCAUGCUGUAAGAUGGUCCACAAGGCUUUUGGCCAACAACCAAUGAUGGAUUGAGGCCUUCAGUCCAACAACCCACAAGGAACUCAAUCCUGCCAAUGACUAUGUGAACCUGGAAGCAGACCUAUCCUCAGUUGAGCCUCUAGAUGAGAACCCGCCUAUGGCUGACACCUUGAUUUUGCAGCCUUGCAGAGGAUUCAGCUAAGCUGUGCCCAGACUUCUGACCCACAGAAACUGGAUGAAUAAAGAAUGCAUCUUUUGCCAAGUACUGGGUAGAAUUUCCUUGGAGAGACUACAGAAGUGUGAGCAAUUUGGCUCUGUUCAUUACAAACAGUGUCUAUGGCAGACAUAUGAAGACCACAACUCCCUCCUUGAUGGAACAGGACCCUCGCCCCAGAGUGAGAAAACUGACGCUCAGGCAUCGAUUAGGCAGGGAUGACUAUGUAAGUUAUAGUCUCUCUGGGCCUUAAUUUUGUGGUCUAUAAAGGAAAGACAAAGAAUUGAGAAAAUUUUUGCAAAAUAAUUUAUCUUAGUGUCUUUGGUAUACUGAGUGUUUUAGAAGAAGUUUACCAGUUAAUGGUUACGAAAAUUACAAUGUU
Long non-coding RNA from Homo sapiens (human), 713 nucleotides. NCBI's taxonomy places the organism in Eukaryota, Metazoa, Chordata, Mammalia, Primates, Hominidae. The record is from Ensembl.